This is a long non-coding RNA of Mauremys reevesii (Reeves's turtle), 556 nucleotides long. RefSeq lists it as uncharacterized. NCBI's taxonomy places the organism in Eukaryota, Metazoa, Chordata, Testudines, Geoemydidae. The transcript is spliced from 3 exons. The record is from RefSeq and is a predicted model, not a curated record.
CCUUGCUGCAGCAAGCCUCCAUCUUGCGGUCUCUCACUGAGGACCAAGAGACAUUGGUGUGCAGGAGAUUCAGUGUGUGUGUUUGUCAUUCCCAUGUGGAUUUUUUUCAAAGACAUUGUCAUCUGUGUAGAAGCCAGUUUCGAUCUCUGGUUUCUACCCCUUGCCCUGCUGGCAGGGCAUUGUGCGGCACCCGUUGCAGGCCACCUGGGUGCAGGAGAUCGAGGAGGGUGAAGGGAGGAGCAACCCUGAGCAUCUGCCAUCCAGCUCCAUCCAAUCUAGAGCAAUUCCAGGAUGGAGCGAAUAAGGCAGAUGCUCAGGAGGAAGGCCGGGCAGGUGGCUCCAGAGCCAGCAGUAAACAUCAGCCAGCCUUCCCAGGAGGAGAGCAGCCCCUCUGUCCCCGCGGGCGGGGAAGAGGCUUGUGGCCGGGGAAAGAGAGGAGCUGUGUCGCAUACUGGAGGAGGAGGAAGACACCAGCUCCCCUAGCUGACCCUGAGGCACCUUCUGGGCAGAAAUGGAGGUGGCCCCGGGUUCAGCUGUGGAGGAGAGAGCCAGGAGA